AAAUGGCCGCGGCUGCAGGACCGAAAGGCUGCAGGUGAGGAAAGUCCGGGCUUCACAGGGCAGGAUGCCAGAUAACGUCUGGUGGAGGCGACUCCAAGGACAGUGCAACAGAAAUAUACCGCUGGACAGGCACUUUGUGCCGGUUCCAGUAAGGGUGGAAGGGCAGUGUAAGAGACUACCGCCCGGCUGGUAACAGCCGGGGCACAUGUAAACCCCAUCCGAAGCAAGACCGAACAGGAGGCGUAAGGCGGCCCGUCUGCCUCCGGGUAGGUCGCUUGAAUUUACCGGCGACGGUAAAGCUAGAUAGAUGGCCAUUCAACGACAUAACCCGGCUUAUCGUCUUGCUCA
RNAcentral lists this RNase P RNA (348 nucleotides) under uncultured Clostridium sp. RNAcentral describes it as "Bacterial RNase P class A". It matches the Rfam family "Bacterial RNase P class A". From Rfam's summary of the family: Ribonuclease P (RNase P) is a ubiquitous endoribonuclease, found in archaea, bacteria and eukarya as well as chloroplasts and mitochondria. Its best characterised activity is the generation of mature 5'-ends of tRNAs by cleaving the 5'-leader elements of precursor-tRNAs. Cellular RNase Ps are ribonucleoproteins. The record is from RNAcentral. Lineage: Bacteria; Bacillati; Bacillota; Clostridia; Eubacteriales; Clostridiaceae.